GCUCAGCCCCGGGGCGGAGCUGGCGGCGGCCCAGAGGACGCGGCCCGGCCGCAGCAGAGCCGGGGCUCAGGGACACAGCGAGGCUCGGCCGGCGGAGCGGCGGCAUGCGGCGGUGUCGGGGCGCGGGGCUGGCGGCGCUGGCCGCGCUGUUGCUCGUGGCAGUGGCUAGAGCCCAGGUGCAGCAGGAGACAUUCCUGGAGAUCACCGAGGGCACCGGCAUCAACAUCACCUGCUCACAUCCCAAUAAACGGAGCAACGAAUACAUCCAUUUCUACCGUCAGUUCCCGGGCCAAAGCCCAGAAUUCCUUGCAACCGCUUAUGGAGGUUCCAAGGAUGUGCCUGCCAUAGCAGGAAAGCUGUCGGUGUCGGAGGACGGGCGUUCGAGCGCGCUGUGGCUCGCUGGGCCCCGGCGCGGGGACGCGGCCGUGUAUUACUGCGCGCUGGGCGCCACGGCCAGAGGAGCCGGGGCUGCGGCCGGGCACGAACCGCCGCGGGCGGGGCCGGCCGAGGCCAGCAGGGGGCGCUGCCGCUCCUCCCGCCGCCCUCCCGGGCCGCGGCUCCGCAGCUCCUUCCUCUGCCCCGAGCCCGCCCCACCGACAGCGCCAAUGACAGCGAAAAGGCCGGCACACUCCGGGCCGGAUUGCCCUCACUUCAACUGCUAUUGCUUCUCCUCACUUCCAUCACAUCCCUAA
Serinus canaria (Common canary) is the source of this 692-nucleotide non-coding RNA. Lineage: Eukaryota; Metazoa; Chordata; Aves; Passeriformes; Fringillidae. The record is from the annotation of a RefSeq genome assembly.